UAUAAAAUAUUUUGAAUAUUUAUAUAACAUUAACAUAAUUCAUAUUACUAUAUUUUUUAGUAUAUGAAAUUUUACUUUGAGAAAAUUAGAGUGCUUAAAGCAGGCAUAUGCCUUGAAUACUCCAGCAUGGAAUAAUAUUAAAGAUUUUUAUCUUUCUUAUUGGUUCUAAGAUAAGAAUAAWGAUUAAUAGGGACAGUUGGGGGCAUUUGUAUUUAACAGUCAGAGGUGAAAUUCUUAGAUUUGUUAAAGACAAACUAAUGCGAAAGCAUUUGCCAAGGAUGUUUUCAUUAAUCAAGAACGAAAGUUAGGGGAUCGAAGACGAUCAGAUACCGUCGUAGUCUUAACCAUAAACUAUGCCA
Molecule: ribosomal RNA, 359 nt
Filed under: Cryptosporidium parvum
Lineage: Eukaryota; Apicomplexa; Conoidasida; Eucoccidiorida; Cryptosporidiidae
Description: SSU rRNA
Source: RNAcentral